RNAcentral lists this ribosomal RNA (1212 nucleotides) under Triticum aestivum (bread wheat). RNAcentral describes it as "partial small subunit ribosomal RNA". The record is from RNAcentral. Lineage: Eukaryota; Viridiplantae; Streptophyta; Magnoliopsida; Poales; Poaceae.
AUGGUCACCGCGGCGACGUCCUCCCGAGAGAAGCCCUCCCGGCACAGCAGCGCGUACUCCUCGUUAGAGCAGACCGACUCGUCCUCCUUCGCCGGCGCCGGCUCCACGGCCUGCGCGAGCGGCGCCGCCCUGUGGAUCGCCUUGGCGACGUCGCCGUUGGCGCGCGGGUUGGUGCUGCUCUCGCGGACGGCGCCGGAGUCCGCGCGGCGCGUCUGCGCCACCGCCUUGCUGGCGGAGCUGAGCCAGCUGCGCCGCGCGGUGCCUGACUUGGACUUUGCGUUGCCGGCCUGCGCGGGCGCGGCGGUGGUCACGCAGCACACGCGCUGUGUCCGCCCGAUCGGCGUCGAAGGGGUCCGCGGCGUCCGCGCGGGAGGAGGAGCCAGCGCCGCUCCAGCCGACGCAGCAGCUACCACGGGAGUCCUCGCAGGAGGAGGAGGAGGAGCAACCAGCGGCGCUCCAGUCGACGCAGCAGCUGCCACGGGAGUCCUCACAGGAGGAGGAGCAACUUGCGGCACUGCAGCCGACGCAGCAGCUGACACGGGAGUCUUCACCGGAGGAACAGCCAGCGCCGCUCCAGCCGAUGCCACGGGAGUCCUCGCGGGAGCAGCCGGCGCCACCUCUCGCGCUGGAGCAGCGGGUGCCGCGGGCGCCGGCGCUGGAGCCGCAGGGAAUCGGCGGACCUGCUGCGCCCGGCGAGGGGUGCGGGAGCGGACGCCGCAGAGGCGCCUGGCGGAGGGCGUCUUGGGGGUGCGCGGCGUGCGGACGGCGUCCCCGGUGCCGCAGCAGCUGGUGAGCGGCGUGCGCACGCUGCUGUUAUCCGUGUCGACGGGGGCGAGAGCGCUGCCCCCGGAAGCUCGGUGGUGGGGGCCGAUGCAGCAUAUGCACGCCGCGCUGCUGCGGCGGCGGGCGUCGCCGGAGGGCUUCGACGGCAUGAUGCAGCACAUCGCCCGCGUCCUCGACAUCGCAAAGUCGUCGCUGGCGUACCUGGUCGAAUGUGGUGCGAGUGCUACGACUUGUGGGAAUGGCCGGCAAGGCGGUAUAAAUGGGCCGGGAGCCGGCCGGAGAGGAGGGAGACGACCGAGGCGAUGUGCGCGCCUCUACGGACGUGGGUGUCUGUCGGCGUCGGCGUGGCGGCUUUGUUUAGGGUUAGCGCGUGAGAUCGGGGACAGCUUUGUGAGGCGACGACGAGAACGUGGCGGGAUGGAUGGAUGA